This 19-nucleotide non-coding RNA is filed under the name Arabidopsis thaliana (thale cress). Lineage: Eukaryota; Viridiplantae; Streptophyta; Magnoliopsida; Brassicales; Brassicaceae. The record is from RNAcentral.
CCAUGCUUUGGAUGGUCAC